Molecule: ribosomal RNA, 468 nt
Filed under: uncultured bacterium
Lineage: Bacteria
Description: partial 16S ribosomal RNA
Rfam family: Bacterial small subunit ribosomal RNA
Source: RNAcentral
GACGAACGCUGGCGGCGUGCUUAACACAUGCCAGUCGAACGGAAAGGCCCUGCUUUUGUGGGGUGCUCGAGUGGCGAACGGGUGAGUAACACGUGAGUAACCUGCCCUUGACUUUGGGAUAACUUCAGGAAACUGGGGCUAAUACCGGAGAGGAGCUCCUGCUGCAUGGUGGGGGUUGGAAAGUUUCGGCGGUUGGGGAUGGACUGGCGGCUUAUCAGCUUGUUGGUGGGGUAGUGGCUUACCAAGGCUUUGACGGGUAGCCGGCCUGAGAGGGUGGCCGGCCACAAUGGGACUGAGAUACGGACCAGACUGGUACGGGAGGCAGCAGUGGGGAAUAUUGCACAAUGGGCGGAAGCCUGAUGCAGCAACGCCGCGUGCGGGAUGACGGCCUUCGGGUUGUAAACCGCUUUCGCCUGUGACGAAGCGUGAGUGACGGUAAUGGGUAAAGAAGCACCGGCUAACUACGUG